GGGGAGCCUGGGAAUGGUGGGGUUCAGUUUGGGACUGGCAAUCCAGUGCAUAAAGGACACCCUAGAAGUCUCGUGUUGCACCUCGGGGGACCCUGCUGGGGCCCAAAAGCCAGGGCUUGGAUCUUCCUCUGAUAGUUCUACUUCAUUCUGUCAAAGAUCCAAUUCCCGAAAGAGUUUUUUUCAUCAUCUUCAAACAUCCAGAAUUGGCUCACACAAUUACAGAGGCUGAGAGGCCAUACUAUCUGUCAUGUGCAUGCAGGAGAACCAGGAAUGCUGGUGGUGUAAUUCAGUACAAGUCAGAAGACCUGGGAACCAGGGAGCUGAUGGUGCCCUCAGUGUAUUGGAUGAUACCUGCCAAUACUGGAAAGGCCAUGUGACCACACACCAAGAAGCUAGCUGUCUGCCAGCCAGGAAGAGAGCCCUGACCAGUAAUCAAAUUGGCUGAAGACUUGAUCUUGGACUCCUUGUCUCCAGAAAUGUGAGAAAAUAAAAAUUUCUGUUAAG
Long non-coding RNA from Homo sapiens (human), 504 nucleotides. The record is from Ensembl. NCBI's taxonomy places the organism in Eukaryota, Metazoa, Chordata, Mammalia, Primates, Hominidae.